GAGGGGAUAGCUCAGUGGUAGAGUGUGUGCUUACCAUGCAUAAGGCCCUGGGUUCAAUCCCCAGUACCUCCU
RNAcentral lists this transfer RNA (72 nucleotides) under Camelus bactrianus (Bactrian camel). It matches the Rfam family "tRNA". Rfam says of the family: Transfer RNA (tRNA) molecules are approximately 80 nucleotides in length. Lineage: Eukaryota; Metazoa; Chordata; Mammalia; Artiodactyla; Camelidae. The record is from Rfam by way of RNAcentral. RNAcentral also lists the same sequence under 2 other names.